AGAGAGAGAGAGAGAGAGAGAGAGAGAGAGAGAGAGAGAGAGAGAAACGACAAGAAAACAAGAAACAGGAGAAAGAUCGAGGGAGGAGGAGGACUGAAGAACGAAGGAGGAGAAGAAAAGGAGGAGAAAGACAAGGAGGUAACAAUGGAACAAGAGUGCUGAGGUGGGCAGUGCUGAGACAGACAGCCGCACGAGCCAAUCAGGAUGGCGGAGGAGUUGGGUUUCUGGCAGCUGCUGGAGAGGGUGGGUCUAAAGCUGCAGGAGCUUCCCAACGCCAGUGGCAUUGACAUUGCAGCCUUCCUUGUCAUCAUCGGCUUCAUGAUGAUGUUCGUGAUGCUGUUGAGUGUGGCAUGCUGCUGUCAUUGUUGCUGUGGACGCAGUCGCCGAAAAACCUCACCUUGAUGACUACACUACCCACAAUCCAACAGGGUCUCCAGCCCAAACACAUCACCCUGAGGACUACGCCACCCGCAGGCCAACAGGGCCUCUAGCCUGGGCCAGCACCCAGAGGAAUACAUUACCCACAAGCCCCUCUGAGGACACCAGACCACCAGCGCAGAGGCCAACCUUACUCACAAGUCGGCCUCUGCAUUAGCUUUUUGUUGAUUCUUCAGUUGGAGCUCUCUUCUGGCUCACCCAGACUCAACAAGUGAUUUGGCACAGUUGUGCAGGAAAAUACAACCAACAGACAGUGAGAUGUUGCAUUUGCGCGCACACACACCGCUUUAUUAAUUUGUUACUGUUUAAGCAUUUGUACACCUCGCAUCUCGUUUAAACUUCGUGAUGCAAUAAAGAUGUAAUUCCGUUUAAACUGA
Engraulis encrasicolus (European anchovy) is the source of this 815-nucleotide long non-coding RNA. RefSeq lists it as uncharacterized. The record is from RefSeq and is a predicted model, not a curated record. The transcript is spliced from 3 exons. Lineage: Eukaryota; Metazoa; Chordata; Actinopteri; Clupeiformes; Engraulidae.